GACGAACGCUGGCGGCGUGCCUAAUACAUGCAAGUAGAACGCUGAAGGAGGAGCUUGCUUCUCUGGAUGAGUUGCGAACGGGUGAGUAACGCGUAGGUAACCUGCCUGGUAGCGGGGGAUAACUAUUGGAAACGAUAGCUAAUACCGCAUAAUAGUAGAUGUUGCAUGACAUUUGCUUAAAAGGUGCAAUUGCAUCACUACCAGAUGGACCUGCGUUGUAUUAGCUAGUUGGUGGGGUAACGGCUCACCAAGGCGACGAUACAUAGCCGACCUGAGAGGGUGAUCGGCCACACUGGGACUGGGACACGGCCCAGACUCCUACGGGAGGCAGCAGUAGGGAAUCUUCGGCAAUGGACGGAAGUCUGACCGAGCAACGCCGCGUGAGUGAAGAAGGUUUUCGGAUCGUGAAGCUCUGUUGUAAGAGAAGAACGAGUGUGAGAGUGGAAAGUUCACACUGUGACGGUAUCUUACCAGAAAGGGACGGCUAACUACGUG
Molecule: ribosomal RNA, 495 nt
Filed under: uncultured bacterium
Lineage: Bacteria
Description: partial 16S ribosomal RNA
Rfam family: Bacterial small subunit ribosomal RNA
Source: RNAcentral